Molecule: transfer RNA, 75 nt
Filed under: Burkholderiales bacterium
Lineage: Bacteria; Pseudomonadati; Pseudomonadota; Betaproteobacteria; Burkholderiales
Also listed under: 4 other names
Description: tRNA-Asp
Rfam family: tRNA
About the family: Transfer RNA (tRNA) molecules are approximately 80 nucleotides in length. Their secondary structure includes four short double-helical elements and three loops (D, anti-codon, and T loops).
Source: RNAcentral
GGGGGCGUAGCUCAGCUUGGUUAGAGCACUGGACUGUCACUCCAGAGGUCGCGGGUUCGAGCCCCGUCGCUCCCG